GAGUUUGAUCAUGGCUCAGGACGAACGCGGCGGCGUGCCUAAUACAUGCAAGUCGAACGCAUUUUCUUCCACCGUAGCUUGCUACACCGGAAGAAAAUGAGUGGCGAACGGGUGAGUAACACGUGGGUAACCUGCCCAUCAGCGGGGGAUAACACUUGGAAACAGGUGCUAAUACCGCAUAAUUCCAUCUACCGCAUGGUAGAUGGAUGAAAGACGCUUUUGCGUCACUGAUGGAUGGACCCGCGGUGCAUUAGCUAGUUGGUGGGGUAACGGCCUACCAAGGCUGCGAUGCAUAGCCGACCUGAGAGGGUGAUCGGCCACACUGGGACUGAGACACGGCCCAGACUCCUACGGGAGGCAGCAGUAGGGAAUCUUCGGCAAUGGACGCAAGUCUGACCGAGCAACGCCGCGUGAGUGAAGAAGGUUUUCGGAUCGUAAAACUCUGUUGUUAGAGAAGAACAAGGAUGAGAGUGGAAAGUUCAUCCCUUGACG
This 492-nucleotide ribosomal RNA is filed under the name Enterococcus cecorum. Its description in RNAcentral is "bacterial SSU rRNA". It matches the Rfam family "Bacterial small subunit ribosomal RNA", at positions 9 to 474 of the family's 1533-position model. Lineage: Bacteria; Bacillati; Bacillota; Bacilli; Lactobacillales; Enterococcaceae. The record is from RNAcentral.